AUGGGGUAGGGGGCAGUUGUGGCUGCCAGUGGGGGGUGAGGAGUGCUGGUCCUAAGGAAGUAUCCUAGCUAGAAGGAUACUUCUAGCUGUGUGUAUAAAGGAUGUGUAUAAAGAAGCCCUCUGCCAAACCUCCCAGUGCAGAAUGCUGCAAGACCCCUGGCAGGGUUGUCACUGGCUUCUAGUUAGCAGGAUCAGUCGGGGAAGGACUGGGGGAGGAGGCAGGUGCACACUGACGUAAGAAUGCCAGGCGCUUGGUGGGGUAAGUGCGUCAUCCCCUGGUUGAAUGGGUUAAUAUUUUUGCAGACUCCGUUUAGUAUAAAGGCCCUACCUGCACUGUUUGAAGCAACAGGAGUUCCAGGUGAGCUACUGAGCCCUAACAGCUUGGCAGCAGCCCUGAAGCCCCCACGGGAAUCCGGAGCUGGUACCACUACUUCCAUUUCCCACUUGAGCCCUGGAGUGACCAAAUGUCACUGUGCCUGGGUGAUAUCCAAUCCAGGAGGCAAUGAACAGGCCAAUUGGGUGGGGCUUCUGAGUGGUGAUGAAGUCAAGCCGGUGAGGGCAAGGAUUCCCUGACUGGUGACCCCCACCCUCUGGGUCGCAUGGUAAAGUUUGGCUGAAGAUGCUGAGAAUUUCAUCUCUCAAAAUGGGGGCGGUGGGGUUGUGGCUCAGCUGCAGAGAGCUCACCUAGCAGGUGCGAGGCCCUGGGUUCAAUCCUCAGUGCCACAUAAAAAUAAAUAAAUAAAGGUAUUGUGUCCAACUACAACUAAAAAAUAAAUAUUUUAAAAAAUGCACAUCUUGGGCUAAGGUCGUGGCUCAGUGGCAGAGCACUUACCUCACACAUGUGAGGC
Molecule: long non-coding RNA, 848 nt
Filed under: Marmota monax (woodchuck)
Lineage: Eukaryota; Metazoa; Chordata; Mammalia; Rodentia; Sciuridae
Source: RNAcentral